GACGAACGCUGGCGGCACGCUUAACACAUGCAAGUCGAACGAGAGAAGAGAAGCUUGCUUUUCUGAUCUAGUGGCGGACGGGUGAGUAACACGUGAGCAAUCUGCCUUUCAGAGGGGGAUACCGAUUGGAAACGAUCGUUAAUACCGCAUAACAUAAUUGAACCGCAUGAUUUGAUUAUCAAAGAUUUAUCGCUGAAAGAUGAGCUCGCGUCUGAUUAGCUAGUUGGUAAGGUAACGGCUUACCAAGGCGACGAUCAGUAGCCGGACUGAGAGGUUGAUCGGCCACAUUGGGACUGAGACACGGCCCAGACUCCUACGGGAGGCAGCAGUGGGGAAUAUUGCACAAUGGAGGAAACUCUGAUGCAGCGAUGCCGCGUGAGGGAAGAAGGUUUUAGGAUUGUAAAUCUCUGUCUUCAGGGACGAAAAAAGACGGUACCUGAGGAGGAAGCUCCGGCUAACUACGUGCCAGCAGCCGCGGUAAUACGUAGGGAGCGAGCGUUGUCCGGAAUUACUGGGUGUAAAGGGAGCGUAGGCGGGAUCGCAAGUCAGAUGUGAAAACUAUGGGCUUAACCCAUAAACUGCAUUUGAAACUGUGGUUCUUGAGUGAAGUAGAGGUAAGCGGAAUUCCUAGUGUAGCGGUGAAAUGCGUAGAUAUUAGGAGGAACAUCAGUGGCGAAGGCGGCUUACUGGGCUUUAACUGACGCUGAGGCUCGAAAGCGUGGGGAGCAAACAGGAUUAGAUACCCUGGUAGUCCACGCCGUAAACGAUGAUUACUAGGUGUGGGGGGACUGACCCCUUCCGUGCCGCAGCAAACGCAAUAAGUAAUCCACCUGGGGAGUACGACCGCAAGGUUGAAACUCAAAGGAAUUGACGGGGGCCCGCACAAGCAGUGGAGUAUGUGGAUUAAUUCGAAGCAACGCGAAGAACCUUACCAGGUCUUGACAUCGUAUGCAUAGCUCAGAGAUGAGUGAAAUCUCUUCGGAGACAUAUAGACAGGUGGUGCAUGGUUGUCGUCAGCUCGUGUCGUGAGAUGUUGGGUUAAGUCCCGCAACGAGCGCAACCCUUACUGUUAGUUGCUACGCAAGAGCACUCUAGCAGGACUGCCGUUGACAAAACGGAGGAAGGUGGGGAUGACGUCAAAUCAUCAUGCCCCUUAUGACCUGGGCCUCACACGUACUACAAUGGCUGUCAACAGAGGGAAGCAAAGCCGCGAGGUGGAGCGAACCCCUAAAAGCAGUCUUAGUUCGGAUUGUAGGCUGCAACCCGCCUACAUGAAGUCGGAAUUGCUAGUAAUCGCAGAUCAGCAUGCUGCGGUGAAUACGUUCCCGGGCCUUGUACACACCGCCCGUCACGCCAUGGGAGUCGGUAACACCCGAAGCCUGUAGUCUAACCGCAAGGAGGACGCAGUCGAAGGUGGGAUUGAUGACUGGGGUG
RNAcentral lists this ribosomal RNA (1434 nucleotides) under uncultured bacterium. RNAcentral describes it as "bacterial SSU rRNA". It matches the Rfam family "Bacterial small subunit ribosomal RNA". The record is from RNAcentral.